Molecule: non-coding RNA, 783 nt
Filed under: Trachylophus sinensis
Lineage: Eukaryota; Metazoa; Arthropoda; Insecta; Coleoptera; Cerambycidae
Source: RNAcentral
GAAAAGUUUUAUUCUAGCUUAGAAAUUAGGUUAAGUUUUAUUUUACAUGUAAAUUUUAGUACAAAAUGGGUGUAAAUUUCGAUAAUUUUCACAAACUUUCGUUGUUCGCAGUAGAGAAAUUUAAAUAUCAAGGAGAUUUGGAUUUAGGAAUAACUUAGAAUAUUGACUAAAUUUGUGCCAGCAGUUGCGGUUACACAGAUAAUAUUACUUAAUUUUUUUCGGAUACAGUUAAAUUUUAAUUAUAGGUUUGAAAGUAAAGCUUAUUGGGUAGAAUCAGUAAGUUUUAAAGUAAGCUGAUUUUUGAUUAUGAGGCUGAGAAAUUUAAUAUUUAAACUAGGAUUAGAUACCCUAUUAUUUUGAAUGUGAAUUUAUUUCUGGAUUAGUAGUAGCUAUGCCCUUGAAAAUUAAAGAUUUUGGCGGUAUUUUAGUCUGUUCAGAGGAACCUGUUCUGUAAUUGAUGAUCCACGAGUUAAUAAACUUUCUCUUUUAGUUUGUAUAUCGUCGUAGUUUGAAAAUUUUAAAAGAAUUUAAAUUUUCAUGAUUUUUUUUAAAAAAGGAAAUCAGAUCAAGGUGUAGCUUAUGGGGAAGGAAGUAAUGGGUUACGUUAAGUUUAUUUAUAGAUUUUAUUUUGUGAAAUUAGAUGAGUACGGAUUUGAUAGUAAUGUUAAUUAGACUAUUAACAUGAUUUUAGCUCUAAAAUAUGCACAUAUCGCCCGUCGCUUUCACUCCAAAGUGAAAUAAGUCGUAACAAAGUAGGCUUACUGGAAAGUGAGCCUGGAAAGG